This 1982-nucleotide long non-coding RNA is filed under the name Homo sapiens (human). Its description in RNAcentral is "HSALNT0042983". Lineage: Eukaryota; Metazoa; Chordata; Mammalia; Primates; Hominidae. The record is from RNAcentral.
CCGCGGUUGUGGGUGUCCCGCGGCGCCGGAAACUGGGCGCACACACCCUCGGAUUGACGUGCGCACGCGCACCGGUUACCUUCAGGAGCGCCGAAGAAGGAAAGAAGAACACAGAGCCCGAGGCAAAGCUUAAGUGCUUACGCUUUUGUCGGGAGGUACAGACCCAGCUCUGCGAGAGCCAGGGGAAAAGGAAGAGAGGCAGGGAAGGAAUGGCAGCAAGUACAAGGUGAUGAAUGACUGCACUGGCCAUUGCUUCAUGAAGAGCCACGAAAAAACAGAGCCGGUUUCUCAGCAGGUGGCUGGCUGCUCAGUCACAAAGGACCUCUUUGGACAGGCUUUAUGGAAAUACUGUGCCUAGGACAGUCGCUCAAAGGCAGGAGGGAGAGAAAAUGCAUCUGCAAGCUCACUUUGUCUUCUUUCUUCUGCUGGUCAAAAUUUGCUGGCUGGGGCAGUUAACGCCCUCACACAUCCGAGUUGUGUCACCUGGCCCCUUUGGUAGCCACUGGGGAAGCCAGAUCUAGGCAUGUGGCCUGAUGGCUCCUGCGGUGGAACCACAUGCUCACACUCAGUCAGUCACCACUGGGAUGCCCUGGGCAGGGCAGGCUGAGUGGCUGGGAGAUAGCUGAGCCUAAGAUAUCUAAGCAAGCACCUGUGAUGUAUGCACUGCAGUGUCCAAAUGUGAAAAAGCAAGAAAGGGAGAUAGAAGCAUAUUUUUUUCUGGAGAGAAGGAGGAAACCACCAGGAGAAUACAAACAGAAAAAAGACUGCCAGCUCCGUGACAGCAAGAACCUUGUAUGACUUUUUCAUGAUGGAUGUUCAUCUGUGCCAUCUGUAAAUAUUGAAUAAAUAUUUGUGGAAUACAUGAAUCUAAAAGUGAAUGGAAUGAUAAAGAGGUAAGAUAUCAGGUGAGGGAGUAAGAUUUUACAGUACGGUGACUUUACUAGAAUGCAAACUCUAUGAGGGCUGGACCUUGAUGAGUAUUGGUUGCUUCAUCUGUACAAUAAAGAGGCUUGAUUUGGUGAACUCUGAAAUCAUUUUGGUUAUAAACCUCAAUGACUCUGAUUCUGAACUGUCACAGAAAGAUAUGAGCCCAGAAUAAAAUAUCUAGAACAUAUAUAUUUAACUCAAUUUUUGUGACUUCAGUUCAGAAUUUAAUUAAUUUUAGUUGGGAAUUUAGCAAACCCACGUGAUCAUUUAGUGUCUUUAUUCUUAUAUUUUGACAGGGAAAGGGUCAUGACAUCUACUACAGCAUUUGGCACAGACCCAGGUUUCCCUGGUACUGGUAAUUCCCAGCAGCUUUCUACAAUUCCAAAGCUGUCUGCAGUACUAUCAAGAGAUGACAUGGACUUCAAGGAUCAAACAGGGGAGAAAAAGGCUUAAAAGAAAAACAAGUCUCCAUCAAAGGUAAUAACCACAAUGAGAACUAUACAUAGCUAUGUGCUUAUAGGUCUUAGUUCACAUUCCCCUCAUUAAAAUUAUAGCUCAAGAAAUAAAGGGCUGUUUAAUGACUUGGGUAUAUAAAUAUACUUCAUUUGUAUAUUUUUUACUUGCUAAAAUCUAUCCAAAUUGGUAUUACCUCAAACCAUAAUCUUCUACUGUAUUUUAUAAUUUUACUUUAUUGCCAUGUAUUUUUCCCACUGAUGUUCACAAAUUCACAGGAAACAUCAGCCAUGUACUAAAUAAAAUAUGAAUUGAAUCGACAAAUAGAACUAUAAAUUUAAUUCAAGCACAUGUAAAAUUUAGACCAAAGAAUAAAAAUGUCUAUUAAAAAUACAGCCAAGCAUGGUGGCUCACACCUGUAAUCCCAGCACUUUGGGAGGCCGAGGUGGGUGAAUCAUCUGAGGUCAAGAGUUUGAGACCAGCUGGCCAUUGUGGUGAAACCCCAUCUCUACUAAAAUACAAAAAUUAGCUGGGUGUGAUGGUGGGCACCUGUAAUCCCACUACUUGGGAGGCUGAGGCAGGAGAAUCGCUUGAACCCAGGA